RNAcentral lists this ribosomal RNA (873 nucleotides) under uncultured bacterium. RNAcentral describes it as "bacterial SSU rRNA". It matches the Rfam family "Bacterial small subunit ribosomal RNA", at positions 8 to 837 of the family's 1533-position model. The record is from RNAcentral.
AGAGUUUGAUCAUGGCUCAGGAUGCACGCUGGCGGCGUGCCUAAUACAUGCUAGUCGAACGCUUUGUGCUUAAUUGAAAUGACGAGCUUGCUCUGAUUUGAUUUUUUGAUUUCAAAGAGUGGCGCACGGGUGAGUAACACGUGGGUAACCUACCUCUUAGCAGGGGAUAACAUUUGGAAACAAGUGCUAAUACCGUAUAAUACCAACAACCGCAUGGUUGUUGGUUGAAAGAUGGUUCUGCUAUCACUAAGAGAUGGACCCGCGGUGCAUUAGCUAGUUGGUAAGGUAAUGGCUUACCAAGGCAAUGACGCAUAGCCGAGUUGAGAGACUGAUCGGCCACAAUGGGACUGAGACACGGCCCAUACUCCUACGGGAGGCAGCAGUAGGGAAUCUUCCACAAUGGGCGCAAGUCUGAUGGAGCAACGCCGCGUGUGUGAUGAAGGGUUUCGGCUCGUAAAACACUGUUAUAAGAGAAGAACGGCACUGAGAGUAACUGUUCAGUGUGUGACGGUAUCUUACCAGAAAGGAACGGCUAAAUACGUGCCAGCAGCCGCGGUAAUACGUAUGUUCCAAGCGUUAUCCGGAUUUAUUGGGCGUAAAGCGAGCGCAGACGGUUAUUUAAGUCUGAAGUGAAAGCCCUCAGCUCAACUGAGGAAUUGCUUUGGAAACUGGAUGACUUGAGUGCAGUAGAGGAAAGUGGAACUCCAUGUGUAGCGGUGAAAUGUGUAGAUAUAUGGAAGAACACCAGUGGCGAAGGCGGCUUUCUGGACUGUAACUGACGUUGAGGCUCGAAAGUGUGGGUAGCAAACAGGAUUAGGUACCCUGGUAGUCCACACCGUAAACGAUGAGUGCUAGAUGUUCGAGGGUUUCCGC